This is a non-coding RNA of Pelobates cultripes (western spadefoot toad), 362 nucleotides long. The record is from the annotation of a GenBank genome assembly. Lineage: Eukaryota; Metazoa; Chordata; Amphibia; Anura; Pelobatidae.
AUUAAAGGGUGGGCUGGAUUAAUUAGAGGGUGUGAAUUAAUUAAAGGGGUGGUGAAUUAAUUAAAGGGUGGGCUGGAUUAAUUAGAGGGGGUGAAUUAAAGGGGGGGUGAAUUAAUUAAAGGGUGGGCUGGAUUAAUUAGAGGGGGUGAAUUAAUUAAAGGGGGUGAAUUAAUUAAAGGGUGGGCUGGAUUAAUUAGAGGGGGUGAAUUAAUUAAAGGGUGGGCUGGAUUAAUUUGAGGGGGGUGGAUUAAUUAAAGGGUGGGCUGGAUUAAUUAGAGGGGGGUGGAUUAAUUAGAGGGGGUGGAUUUAUUAAAGGGGGGGUGGAUUAAUUAGACAGUAUGGUAUUUUGAUCCCCAGACAAG